GGGUGUCGCUGUCGCAGAUGCAGGCAGCUUUCUUUGUAUAUCUGAGAGGAUUCUCCAACAUCUGUUGGAGUCUGAACAUACCCGCGACCGCCGCCUUAUUCUUCUGGUUUUUCAAGUUUGUGAAGGCGCCCGCUUCCGAAUCUGGUCGGUUGGGGCUAGCAAAGCGGUUCAGCGGACGAGAGCUGAUAAUUGAACUCCCCACUAACUAUGGGCCCCAGUGGAAGAGUGAGUUCUUUUUUGUUGAAUCUAC
RNAcentral lists this long non-coding RNA (250 nucleotides) under Zostera marina. Its description in RNAcentral is "long non-coding RNA (ZMAR_LNC004289)". Lineage: Eukaryota; Viridiplantae; Streptophyta; Magnoliopsida; Alismatales; Zosteraceae. The record is from RNAcentral.